This 1544-nucleotide ribosomal RNA is filed under the name Salmonella enterica subsp. enterica serovar Typhimurium. RNAcentral describes it as "partial 23S ribosomal RNA". It matches the Rfam family "Bacterial large subunit ribosomal RNA", at positions 1275 to 2802 of the family's 2925-position model. The record is from RNAcentral. Lineage: Bacteria; Pseudomonadati; Pseudomonadota; Gammaproteobacteria; Enterobacterales; Enterobacteriaceae.
GGAGGUAUCAGAAGUGCGAAUGCUGACAUAAGUAACGAUAAAGCGGGUGAAAAGCCCGCUCGCCGGAAGACCAAGGGUUCCUGUCCAACGUUAAUCGGGGCAGGGUGAGUCGACCCCUAAGGCGAGGCCGAAAGGCGUAGUCGAUGGGAAACGGGUUAAUAUUCCCGUACUUGGUGUUACUGCGAAGGGGGGACGGAGAAGGCUAUGUUGGCCGGGCGACGGUUGUCCCGGUUUAAGCGUGUAGGUGUGUGUUCCAGGUAAAUCCGGUUCACUUUAACACUGAGGCGUGAUGACGAGGCACUACGGUGCUGAAGCAACAAAUGCCCUGCUUCCAGGAAAAGCCUCUAAGCAUCAGGUAACAUCAAAUCGUACCCCAAACCGACACAGGUGGUCAGGUAGAGAAUACCAAGGCGCUUGAGAGAACUCGGGUGAAGGAACUAGGCAAAAUGGUGCCGUAACUUCGGGAGAAGGCACGCUGACACGUAGGUGAAGUGAUUUACUCACGGAGCUGAAGUCAGUCGAAGAUACCAGCUGGCUGCAACUGUUUAUUAAAAACACAGCACUGUGCAAACACGAAAGUGGACGUAUACGGUGUGACGCCUGCCCGGUGCCGGAAGGUUAAUUGAUGGGGUCAGCGCAAGCGAAGCUCCUGAUCGAAGCCCCGGUAAACGGCGGCCGUAACUAUAACGGUCCUAAGGUAGCGAAAUUCCUUGUCGGGUAAGUUCCGACCUGCACGAAUGGCGUAAUGAUGGCCAGGCUGUCUCCACCCGAGACUCAGUGAAAUUGAACUCGCUGUGAAGAUGCAGUGUACCCGCGGCAAGACGGAAAGACCCCGUGAACCUUUACUAUAGCUUGACACUGAACAUUGAGCCUUGAUGUGUAGGAUAGGUGGGAGGCUUUGAAGUGUGGACGCCAGUCUGCAUGGAGCCGACCUUGAAAUACCACCCUUUAAUGUUUGAUGUUCUAACGUGGACCCGUAAUCCGGGUUGCGGACAGUGUCUGGUGGGUAGUUUGACUGGGGCGGUCUCCUCCUAAAGAGUAACGGAGGAGCACGAAGGUUGGCUAAUCCUGGUCGGACAUCAGGAGGUUAGUGCAAUGGCAUAAGCCAGCUUGACUGCGAGCGUGACGGCGCGAGCAGGUGCGAAAGCAGGUCAUAGUGAUCCGGUGGUUCUGAAUGGAAGGGCCAUCGCUCAACGGAUAAAAGGUACUCCGGGGAUAACAGGCUGAUACCGCCCAAGAGUUCAUAUCGACGGCGGUGUUUGGCACCUCGAUGUCGGCUCAUCACAUCCUGGGGCUGAAGUAGGUCCCAAGGGUAUGGCUGUUCGCCAUUUAAAGUGGUACGCGAGCUGGGUUUAGAACGUCGUGAGACAGUUCGGUCCCUAUCUGCCGUGGGCGCUGGAGAACUGAGGGGGGCUGCUCCUAGUACGAGAGGACCGGAGUGGACGCAUCACUGGUGUUCGGGUUGUCAUGCCAAUGGCACUGCCCGGUAGCUAAAUGCGGAAGAGAUAAGUGCUGAAAGCAUCUAAGCACGAAACUUGCCCCGA